Molecule: ribosomal RNA, 2118 nt
Filed under: human gut metagenome
Description: bacterial LSU rRNA
Rfam family: Bacterial large subunit ribosomal RNA
Source: RNAcentral
AGUGCAUGUGGCGGAUGCCUUGGCGAUCACAGGCGAAGAAAGACGCGGCAGCCUGCGAAAAGCUGCGGGGAGCUGGCAAACGAGCUUUGAUCCGCAGAUAUCUGAAUGGGGGAACCCACACCGCAAGGUGUAUCCGUAGCUGAAUACAUAGGUUACGGAGGCGAACGAGGAGAACUGAAACAUCUAAGUAUCCUCAGGAAAAGAAAUCAACCGAGAUUCCGGCAGUAGCGGCGAGCGAACCCGGAGGAGCCUAGCUUUUGAUAGUACGAACUUUAGCCGAAAGGUCCUGGAAAGGCCUGCUAUAGUGGGUGAUAGCCCCGUAGGCGAAAGAGUUGGUACGGUACUAAGGAAGCGAGAAGUAGAGCGGGACACGUGGAAUCCUGUUCGAAGACGGGGGGACCAUCCUCCAAGGCUAAAUACUCGUGAUCGACCGAUAGUGAACCAGUACCGUGAGGGAAAGGCGAAAAGAACCCCGGGAGGGGAGUGAAAUAGAACCUGAAACCGCAUGCAUACAAACAGUAGGAGCCUCAUCAGAGGUGACUGCGUACCUUUUGCAUAAUGGGUCAGCGACUUACAUUCUGUGGCGAGCUUAACCGAAUAGGGGAGGCGCAGCGAAAGCGAGUUCGAAAUGAGCGUCCAGUCGCAGGGUGUAGACCCGAAACCAGAUGAGCUAUCCAUGGCCAGGUUGAAGGUGUGGUAACACACACUGGAGGACCGAACCGACUAGUGUUGCAAAAUUAGCGGAUGAGCUGUGGAUAGGGGUGAAAGGCCAAACAAAUCUGGAGAUAGCUGGUUCUCCCCGAAAACUAUUGAGGUAGUGCCUCGUGUGUCGCUCCAGGGGGUAGAGCACUGUUUUGGCUAGGGGGACAUGGAGUCUUACCAAACCAAGGCAAACUCCGAAUACCUGGAAGCGUGAGCACGGGAGACAGAGCACCGGGUGCUAACGUCCGGACUCAAAAGGGAAACAACCCAGACCGCCGGCUAAGGUCCCAAAUAACAGCUAAGUGGAAAACGAAGUGGAAAGGCCGUGACAACCAGGAAGUUGGCUUAGAAGCAGCCAUCCUUCAAAGAAAGCGUAAUAGCUCACUGGUCGAGUCCUUCUGCGCGGAAGAUGUAACGGGGCUAAGCUGUUAACCGAAGCCGCGGAUGCACUGGUUAUCCAGUGCGUGGUAGGGGAGCGUUCUGUAAGUCUGCGAAGGCGGUUCGAGAGGACUGCUGGAGAUAUCAGAAGUGCGAAUGCUGACAUGAGUAACGUUAAAGCAGGUGAAAAGCCUGCUCGCCGUAAGCCCAAGGAUUCCUGCUCUACGUUCAUCGGAGCAGGGUGAGUCGGCUCCUAAGGUCAGGCCGAAAGGCGUAGCCGAUGGGAAUCAGGUUAAUAUUCCUGAACCUGCGUCAGAUGCGAUGGGGGGACGGAGCAUGGAAGAUCAUCCGGGUGUUGGAAGUCCCGGUUGUUUAGCGUAGGAGGUCUGCAGGCAAAUCCGCAGACGCAUCUCCAAGGCAAAGACACGUGCCGCCACGGCGGCGAAGUGAUCGGAAGUGCUUCCAAGAAAAGCCUCUAAGCCCCAGUCUGAUGCGGACCGUACCGCAAACCGACACUGGUGGGCGAGCUGAAUAUGCUCAGGCGCUUGAGAGAACUCGGGAGAAGGAACUCGGCAAAUUGACACCGUAACUUCGGAAGAAGGUGUGCCGUAGUACCGUGAGAGGAGAGACACCUUGAGCGGGAAACGGUCUCAGAGAAUAGGUGGCUGCGACUGUUUAUUAAAAACACAGCACUCUGCAAAGUCGAAAGACGACGUAUAGGGUGUGAUGCCUGCCCGGUGCUGGAAGAUUAAUUGAUGGGGUGAGAGCCCUUGAUCGAAGUCCCAGUAAACGGCGGCCGUAACUAUAACGGUCCUAAGGUAGCGAAAUUCCUUGUCGGGUAAGUUCCGACCUGCACGAAUGGCAUAACGAUGGCCACACUGUCUCCUCCCGAGACUCAGUGAAGUUGAAAUGUUUGUGAUGAUGCAAUCUACCCGCGGCUAGACGGAAAGACCCCAUGAACCUUUACUGCAGCUUUGCAUUGAACUGUGAACCGAUUUGUGUAGGAUAGGUGGGAGGCAGAGAAGCUAGGACGCCAGU